UGGGAUAAAAAGCUCAGUAAGUUAUUUUAUAUUUUAAUCUAUUAAGGAUAAGCUUAAUAGAAAGUAGGAAAAAUGUAUUAAUCAAAUAAAUUAUGUAGAUUUGAAAUUAAUCACCAUAGUAGAACUUAUUACAAAACAAUUUGUAAAAUUGUAAAAAUUUUUAUACUUGUUUUCCUUGUAUUAUAAAGGUAAUGAAAAAAAUUAAUAAAUUUAAUUUGUGUAUGCUAGGAUGAGUAUUUUUAAAUUUUUUAGAAGGUAGAAUGAUUUAGAAUACCUAUAAUAAUAAUUGUUUACAGGUGUAAAAUAGAAAGAAGGAACUCGGCAAAUAUUAGCUCCGCCUGUUUAUCAAAAACAUGGCUCUUUGUUAGGUUAAAUAUAAAGAGUCCAACCUGCCCAGUGAGAGUUAUUUAACGGCCGCGGUACUUUGACCGUGCAAAGGUAGCAUAAUCAUUUGCCUUAUAAUUGAAGGCUUGUAUGAAUGGUUUAACGAGAGCAUUGCUGUCUCUUUUUUAAUAGAUAAAAUUUAACUUUUAGGUGAAGAGGCCUAAAUAUAAUUGAAAGACAAGAAGACCCUGUCGAGCUUAAAAAUUAAAUUAGGAAUAGACUAUAAAAUUUAGAUUUUUCACUAAAUUUAUUUUUUGAUUGGGGCGAUCAAGGAACAAUGAAAGCUUCCUUUAAAACUAUUUCAACUUAUAAGUACUGAUCCAGCUUAAGGCUGAUUAAAAGAAUUAGCUACCGCAGGGAUAACAGCAUAAUCUCUCUUGAGAGACCUUAUCGAAAGAGGGGGUUGUGACCUCGAUGUUGGACUAGAAUAUCCUAAAGGUGCAGAAGUCUUUAAGG
This 840-nucleotide ribosomal RNA is filed under the name Brotia pagodula. RNAcentral's name for it is "partial 16S ribosomal RNA". It matches the Rfam family "Bacterial large subunit ribosomal RNA", at positions 1451 to 2570 of the family's 2925-position model. The record is from RNAcentral. Lineage: Eukaryota; Metazoa; Mollusca; Gastropoda; Pachychilidae.